CGCCUGUGAUGUACAUGGUUUUGUCCGUACCAUCUGAGAUUUUUCUCUUCUUUGAUGUAUGUAAGCCUAGUUUCUGAGGCAC
Molecule: small nucleolar RNA, 82 nt
Filed under: Theobroma cacao (cacao)
Lineage: Eukaryota; Viridiplantae; Streptophyta; Magnoliopsida; Malvales; Malvaceae
Description: snoRNA snoR117
Rfam family: small nucleolar RNA snoR117
Source: Rfam by way of RNAcentral